AGUGCAGCUGUGUUGUCAGGCCCAGAGGCUGAUGACAGAGAAGAGUGAGAAAGGACCCACAGUCAGAGGAAAGGGGGAGAACUACGGCGGAUUCUACAAACAUCGAACCGUCUAACCAUUUCACAAUGCACCAGCAACAGCAGCCCCCACGUGGCCACAAUGGACCCCGCAGGCCUGGCUCUGCAUCCCGCCUGCCCCAGUGUCUGGGGUCCAUCGGAUCAGCACCGCCUACCACAAGAAGGCAGUCAUCUGCCAGCCAGGAGGGGAGGCCUCGCCAGAAACCAAUCCUGCCAACACCCUGAUCUUGAACCUCCAGCCUCCAGGACUGAGAAGGAAAUGUCUGCUGUGGCAGCACCCGGCUGUGCUGCUUUGCUCCAGCCUCCCCAGCAGACCAGUGUCCAGUCAUUCAAGGGAAUGAGCCUGUCAGGAGAGGCUGGGCUUUGUGGUGAGCCAGCGGGGAAACCUCUCGGGGAGAGAGGAGGGCAAAGAGAGGCCAGCCUGGUGGGGAAGAAGAGGUGGGAGUGAAGAAGACACAGAGGACGCACACUGAGUGAGGAGGACCAAGGCACAAGGCCCUUUUCACCAGGCUCCUGUGCUCUCAGGGGAGACAGGGAGGGUGGCAUUGGCUAGAAGAGCCUGCCCAGCCCUGGAGAAAGGAGCUCACAGCAGGGCUGUGGAGAGGGCAGGGACUGGGUGGGGGGUGCUACCAUGUGACGUGCUAGGAAUGAAUCUGCAUUAGCGUCCGUCUGGCUGGAUAGAGACGCUUCAGCACGUGUGGGGCUGCACACAGGCACGCAGGGUGGAGGCCCCUCCACUCUGCAGCCCCACAGCCAGCACCUGCCUUCUCACCUCUUCUAGUCCAGGGCCCGAGAAGCCAUUAGCAACCAUUCUCACCCCAGUGUGAAUCUGCAGCUCUGCCGCUCCAGUGUGAAGGAGGAGAAGGAGAGCAGGAAGGGGUGUCCACCACCAUGUGCCCACAGGAGCAAGGCUCCCGCCCUCCCAGGGUAUGAACUUGAAUCCCUGUGACCUCUGUGGGUGCAUCUGCACAGAAUGCAGGUCCCCUGUCCCCCAGCCACCGCACCACACCAGCCUAGCCAUCCUUGCGAGCCGCCACAGGCCUGGGACCCCCCAGGGCACUGGAACACAGCAGCCCCAGUGAGCACCUGGAGCCUGAGCCUGGACCGGAGGCCCCAGACAGCUUGGAACAGGCCAGCCCCCAGGAGGGGCGGCUCUUCUACAGCCAGCCCGGCACUGCCCACCCAACCUCCCAGAUCCACAGGCAGCUGCUCCAGAGGGAGUGGGGGCUCCAGGGACUUCUCCCAAGCGAGAUGAAAACACAGGUUUUUGCGUGAAAGCUCCUUCUUAAAUAUUGACAAGUUUAGAGCCCAUCUCAGAUCCCUGGCUAUGCUCCCUCAGCCCAACAGCCACAGACCCAAAAUUCAAAGUAGCCAUGCGCCCUGAGAGCCCAACCUGCCUGGCCACGCACAGGCCGGCCACAGUCCCAGGAGUGGGCGUGUGCCCCCACCACCACACGGCUGUGUCCCUCCCUUCCAUCCCCCACCCACAGGCAGAGCUGGACAGAUCAGCACCACGGAGAGAGACGAGCAUCGCCAGUCCCAGGCCCCCAGGCCGCCCUGCCCACCUGCCCCAUCCCUCCCGCACUGUCCCCUCAGAGCUGGGUCCUGGGCUGAGACUCCCCAAACUGUGACCUUCAAGGCUUCUCACAUAGUUCACCCCAGCCUCACGGCCUCCAGCCCUGCCGCUCACUGUCCCCACCACACUCUGCCUGGACCCCGACCCCUCCAGCUGCUGGGACAGGAAAUCAAGCCUCCGAAUGACCCUCCUGGUGGGACCCCUGAAGAGAAAGGCGUGUAAGGGGGACUCUGUGCACACCUGCAGAACCGCCCAUCCCUGGAGCCCGGCCCUGCAGUCACCGUCGAGAGGAGAGGCCUGGAGCACAGAGUGGAUCCUGGGGCAUGGGGACUUUGCCGUUGGCAGAACACGCACACUGGGGGGAAGGGCCCUGGCUCCAUCGUGCCCAGCAAGUACCUGGCCCAUAUCAGGGACAUAUGAGUAAAGAACAGACCACCUGAUCCAGUCCCUACUUGCCUGAGGACAGCAGCCCAGACCCCCAUGAAUGACGAAAGUCCUUCUCUGGACUGAGCUGAAACCUCCCUCCCUUAUCUCCCACCCAUGUCCCCUGUCCCCCUGGGAAAGUCUGCAGUAUCCAAGGGCAGCCCUGGGCUCCUUCAGCUCUCCAGGCCCCAUGGUGAAAGAUCUGCAGAGAGGCCAACCCUCCCUCGGGUCUGCUGUGCCAAGCAGGCAUAUGAGAGACCCCAGGCGUCUGCAACGCUGGCCCGAUGCCCAUCCAGUGAGCCAGCCCCGCACUGCUUCCAUCCAGGGAGUCUCUGGAUUUGGGCUCCUCAGGCAGCAGAGCACACAUGGAGAUGCAGAGACCCCAGAGAAGACCCCACAGGACUGGAGCCCGAGGCCAGGGGCUGUGAGGGGACCCCAGUGGGGAGACUGCAGCCACCCCAGCUCCACGGCGCAACUGAGCUUCAGACAGCACACGCCCGGGCCGCACGUGCUGGGCCUCCUGGCCUCAGCUUGCCUACCCUGUGAGGACAACCACGAAGUCCAUGACGUUCCAUCCAUUCCGCAGUUCCAGUUCCUGCCUUCUCCCCUUGUUCCUCCAGCGGGGGAUGGCAUCACGUGGGUGUGGUGAACCCUGGCCCUUGGGACUUCCCUGUGCCUUGCACAGAUCGAGCAGAUUGUGGUAGGUGGUCCCUUGGGAGUGUCAUCCUGCCUGAUGCAUCACCACCGAGGAGGCAACCGAAGUCAGAGACAGAGGACGCCGGCACUCCCCAAGAAUGAAGUCGGGCUUCAUUCCCAUCACCUAGGCUGCAGUACAGGGGCGUGAUCUCGGCUCACUGCAACCUCCACCUCCUGGACUCAAGCAACCCUCCCAUUCCAGCCUCCCAAGUAGCUAGGACUGCAGGCACACACCACAAUGCCAGGCUAAUUUUUGUUUGUUUGUUUGUUUUUGUUGAGACGGUGUUUCACCAUGUUGCCCAGGCUGGCCUUGAACUCCUGAGUUCAAGUGAUCUGCCCACCUUGGCCUCCCAAAGUGCUGGGAUUACAGGCACGAGCCACCACACUCAGCCUUCAUCAUCUAAUAAAAUCUAACCAAAUCCUU
RNAcentral lists this non-coding RNA (3196 nucleotides) under Pongo abelii (Sumatran orangutan). Lineage: Eukaryota; Metazoa; Chordata; Mammalia; Primates; Hominidae. The record is from RNAcentral.